UACGGGGGGGGCAAGCGUUGUUCGGAAUUACUGGGCGUAAAGGGCGCGUAGGCGGCUCGUCAAGUCGGGCGUGAAAUCUCCGGGCUUAACCUGGAAAAGUCGUUCGAUACUGUUGAGCUAGAGUGUGGAAGAGGCUACUGGAAUUCCGUGUGUAGCGGUGAAAUGCGUAGAUAUACGGAGGAACACCAAUUGCGAAGGCAGCUCGCUGGGACGUUACUGACGCUGAGACGCGAAAGCGUGGGGAGCAAACAGG
This 253-nucleotide ribosomal RNA is filed under the name uncultured bacterium. RNAcentral describes it as "partial 16S ribosomal RNA". It matches the Rfam family "Bacterial small subunit ribosomal RNA", at positions 524 to 776 of the family's 1533-position model. The record is from RNAcentral.